UCAGACGAUGCGUCACGCAUAUCAAUAAGCGGAGGAAAAGAAACUAACAAGGAUUCCCUCAGUAACGGCGAGUGAAGCGGGAAGAGCUCAAAUUUGAAAUCUUGAAAGGUCACCUUUCACGAAUUGUAGUUUAAAGAAGUGUUUUCUGUUACGAUCGUAAUAUAAGUUCUUUGGAAUAGGACAUCACAGAGGGUGAGAAUCCCGUCUAUGAUUGCGAUUUGUAGCUUUGUGAUACACUUUCAAAGAGUCGGGUUGUUUGGGAAUGCAGCCCAAGACGGGAGGUAAAUUUCUUCUAAGGCUAAAUAUUGGCGAGAGACCGAUAGCGAACAAGUACCGUGAGGGAGAGAUGAAAAGAACUUUGAAAAGAGAGUUAAAUAGUACGUGAAAUUGUCAAAAGGGAAGCGUUUAACACCAGUGUUGUUUUCUGAAAAUCAACCUCUGUUAGCUUUAUGCAUGUUUGUUUAGACCUAAUCAGCUAUCUUGCAUGUUCUAUUGUUUGCAGUGGUGCACUUUUCAGUUUACAGGUCAACAUCAGUUUUUUUUACCGUAAAAAAGUUAAAGAAAGGUAGCUCAUGGCUCCGGUCGUGAGUGUUAUAGUCUUUUUCCUAUGCGGUAGGAGAGACUGAGGUCUGCAGUGUAGGCUAUUUGGCUAGAUACUCAGGUGCUAUGUGAUACCAUUUCAUAAACAACUUGUUGAUCAUGUUUUGUCUAUUGCAUACUCGCUUGUACUAUCAUACCUACGCUUAGGAUGUUGAAGACUCUACAGAGAUA
Molecule: ribosomal RNA, 771 nt
Filed under: uncultured Neocallimastigales
Lineage: Eukaryota; Fungi; Neocallimastigomycota; Neocallimastigomycetes; Neocallimastigales
Description: partial large subunit ribosomal RNA
Rfam family: Eukaryotic large subunit ribosomal RNA
Source: RNAcentral